Molecule: ribosomal RNA, 640 nt
Filed under: uncultured bacterium
Lineage: Bacteria
Description: bacterial SSU rRNA
Rfam family: Bacterial small subunit ribosomal RNA
Source: RNAcentral
AGAGUUUGAUCAUGGCUCAGAUUGAACGCUGGCGGCAGGCCUAACACAUGCAAGUCGAGCGGCAGCGACUUAACUGAACCUUCGGGGAACGUUAAGGGCGGCGAGCGGCGGACGGGUGAGUAAUGCCUGGGAAUAUGCCCUGAUGUGGGGGAUAACUAUUGGAAACGAUAGCUAAUACCGCAUAAUCUCUUCGGAGCAAAGAGGGGGACCUUCGGGCCUCUCGCGUCAGGAUUAGCCCAGGUGGGAUUAGCUUGUUGGUGAGGUAAUGGCUCACCAAGGCAACGAUCCCUAGCUGGUCUGAGAGGAUGAUCAGCCACACUGGAACUGAGACACGGUCCAGACUCCUACGGGAGGCAGCAGUGGGGAAUAUUGCACAAUGGGGGAAACCCUGAUGCAGCCAUGCCGCGUGUGUGAAGAAGGCCUUCGGGUUGUAAAGCACUUUCAGUAGGGAGGAAGGUAGUGUAGUUAACACCUGCAUUAUUUGACGUUACCUACAGAAGAAGCACCGGCUAACUCCGUGCCAGCAGCCGCGGUAAUACGGAGGGUGCGAGCGUUAAUCGGAAUUACUGGGCGUAAAGCGCAUGCAGGCGGCCUGUUAAGUCAGAUGUGAAAGCCCGGGGCUUAACCUCGGAAUUGCAUU